ACCGCCAAUCCCACUAAAAGCAAUCUCCUGCGUGGAUACAUUUCGCAUUCACUGUUUUAUUAACCUUUUAUUCAAUUUUCACAUAUGUUCAAAAAGGUAAACAAAGCCAAACGGCUUCCUAAGAACUGAAAAGUGUAGCCGUACGGAAAGCGGUUUUCUCCUUUGGUCACACUCUGCCGCUAGAAAAAUAUAUUGCACUGUUUGCUAGCAAACGUGUUUUUCGAUCUGAGUACUAGGCUUUAAAUUUAAUUUGGAAACAUUCCAAUAAAAGGAAGUCUUGAUUAUCAGUAAAUUUUGUGGAGAAUUUUAUAAUGAGAAUCCUGAGAAUCCUAACUAGCUAGGAAUAUUAAUUAUAAUAGCAAAAUCGAGGAAUACGACUUAAGAUUGCUUAAAUUGCUUAAAUAAACUUGCAUUCAACUGCUUAAAAAAAAUUGUAAAGGAUCUUUUAUCAUAAUUAAUAAUUAAUAUAAAUUUUUGUAAAAUACAUACGACGUACAUAUGUACAUAUGUAUGUACAUACAAUUAUGGGUUUAAAUUCGUAUGGGAAAUGCGAAAUUCCACUUUAGUCUAACGAGCUUUCGUGCACAUUUGUAGAAGUCUAGCUCUUUAAAGUCUUUAAAGUUCGAAUAAUAUUUCAGAUCUUGAUUUUGCGGUCAGAUUUUUGAUCAUGAGGGACGAACUUAAAAUUUAUGCAAUAGUGCAUUGUCCGAUAUGCCUCUAAGAAGAAUUAACCAACGAAUGCCCCUUUUUUGUGUCUUUGCAGAAGAGGAUAACUCUUCCGCCUCCACAAGAGCUACAAUCAUAAACACCCAGCUGCUCGUAAACAAAGAUAUGUAUGUAAAUACGUGUGUAAAUGCGUGUGCAUAUGUAAGUGUAUGAAUUUAAUGUAUAGUAAAUUAUUAAUCUUUCUAAUAUAAUUAUAUAUUCAGUAUUUAGCGUUCUGGCUAGCUAGUAAUAAAAACAGAAACUCAAAAUCGAGGAAUAUAACUUCCGAUCAACAGAAAAUGUUCAACCUAUUUGUUUAUUCGUUAUUUUCUAAAAAAUCUAAUAAACCAGAGACCAGUUCUGAAAGUUAACCAACUAUAUAGAAAACUGAUUCAACAGUUGGAUAUAAUUUUCAUAUUCAUGGCUGAAGCCGGCUGGUCGGCAAUCCGGGUGAGUGACGCAUGUAUUGAUGUGUUGCCGCUUACACAUCGAUGACCCGUAGGGGUAUAUAUGUACAUAUCAAAAAUAGGUACGAAAUGGGUCAAUGCUGAUCCUAUGCGGACCUCCGAAACAAAAGCAAAACCUCUAGCAACAGAUUCGCACUUAUUCGUGUGAAGUCAAGACAAGUGCGGUUUCGAGCGAUACAAAAUAACAAUGCAUUCAUUUGCAUUUAUUCUUGUGUCUUACACGUACACAGACUCUUGCAUAAGCUGCCUGGGGUACACUUACCGCAGACUCAGCGGUGACGUUUCGCUUAUAUGACAAAUCGGACCCAUCUAUGUACAUAUAUUUUAUAUGGUUAAUAAUCUAGUGUUCAUAAAAUUAGUAAUGCCAGCACAAUUAAGAAAUUUUGCGGUCAAGUUCUUUAGUCAGAUAUAAUGGGCCUAUUUAUUAUUAUAGUCUUUAAAGUUUGAAUAAUAUUUCAGAUCUUGAUUUUGCGGUCAGAUUUUUUAUCAUGAGGGACGAACUUAAAAAUAAU
RNAcentral lists this long non-coding RNA (1684 nucleotides) under Drosophila guanche. Lineage: Eukaryota; Metazoa; Arthropoda; Insecta; Diptera; Drosophilidae. The record is from RNAcentral.